Molecule: long non-coding RNA, 3797 nt
Filed under: Homo sapiens (human)
Lineage: Eukaryota; Metazoa; Chordata; Mammalia; Primates; Hominidae
Description: HSALNT0184626
Source: RNAcentral
UAUGAGGUACAUCUGUAUAUGUCUAGAGGUCUUGGUGCAUGCCUGGAUGUCAAAACUACUUACAGACAGUUCUUGGAGUUAUCCUGAAAAUGAAGAAUGCUGGAUACCAUUUAGUUAGUUCUUAUUACAUAUCAGGAAUUAUUUUAGGUGCUUUCUAUACAUACAUUUUUGUAGAGCCACACAAGAAAGUAGGUAUUUUUAAUCUCCAUUUAUAAUGAGGAAGAAUCUGAUUAAGAAUCAGAUAAGUCAAAUAAUUUUCCCAAAUUCUCAUAGCUAGUAAGUGUCAGAAUCAGAGCCCAAAGCCACCUAGUGUGAGGAUAUCCUUGUUGUGUGGCCUUGUCUAUCAGCCCGGGGAGGAUAUUCAAUUAGAUCAGCUCCUGUGAUUUUUCUUAGGUCACCUGAAGUAGGUAGAGUUUGCCUCUGAACCAAUAGGGAUUUUUUUUUUCAGCCUUUGUCUUUGGGGCAAAGUUUCAGGCAAAAACUUAGGCUUCAAUUAGGAGAUCAAUAAUACCAUCAGGCAUUUGCUCUUAGCAUGGAUGCCUCCCUCUUCCUGGCGUCCAUUUCAGCUUCCUGACCUUCUGUUUUGCCUCUUUAACUGGAGAAGGCUGAGGAGCUAGGGAAGCUCAGGGACUCCACUCUGGGAGAGUUCCAUCCUCAGAGGAGGAGCUUCUCCAACCCAGGAGGCUGUGCCUCAGGAGAAGCUGGCCCUUCCAACGAUGUUCUCUUAGCGCAGGGACUAUGGAGGGACCUGUGUCAUGCCAGAGUGGAGAAGAGUGUGGCAGAAGCUAGUUAACUCCAGCUCCAAGUGGGGAUUAGCUUCCAUACAGACAAAAUCUGUGGUUGGGAUGCUCCCUUCCUCCUCCCUCCCUUUCUCCUCCACCAAGUGCAAGGGUUUGCACCAUUUGUAUCAACUCAUCAGUGCCCAGCACUGGGCUUUGUAUUGUGGGUAAAAUAGAUGAAGAAUUUUAAUGACAGGGUCCCUGUUUGCAAUUUUAUCCAGUGUGUUUUCUUUCUCCCUCCUAAAAGGAUAGGAUCUUUUACAGACAAAGAGAAAUUAUUAAGGAUUUUGUAAGCCCACUCAGUAGUUAUCGUUGCUUAAUAACCCUGCUCUAAGAUGCUGAGUUUUGUGGAUGAUAACUGAUCUCAUUCUUUAAAUAUUUCUGAGUUCUAAAUCAGCUGAGAAUAUACAAGAGUCAGACAGACGAAUACCAAAAUGCCAUUUUUACUAGGAAUUAAGCUGAAUUCAACUAAGUGGUUGAGACAGAUAGCCACAAUUAGCCCUUCCAUUAUCUUGGAAGAAUUAUGGUUUGGAGUGUAGACAUGCCCAAUCUCAGUGUCAGGAAAGUGGUGCCAAAGAAAGGGAAAAGAAGAGAGACCACAAUAUGCUUAGUUGUUAAUACACCAAGUCCGUCUAAGUAAAGGCCCAUGAAGGGCCAGGACCAAGCCAGGGAGAAAGGCUGGACGUAUUACUCAGUGGACAUCUCAGCACGAAAGCAUGAAGCAAGGGGAAUGGCAGUUACUCUCUGGGGUAGGGAAAUUCUCUAGUUGCUCAACUUCAGUUAACUUGGAAAGUAAUUCUUCAAAAGAUACAUUAAUAAUUUGAGAGAUCAGAAAGAACAUUACUAUCUCCAUGUUGACUGGAUAAACAAGACAUCCACCUAUUAAAAGUAGGGAAGAACACCUACCACACACAAAGAUGUGAAAGUCUGAGUUCCUGUUCCUAAGGCUGGUCCGAUGGAGAAGAGGAUGAGAUGCCCCAUACUGGUGAUGGAAAUCACAGGUCACCAUCAACACACAGAGCUCCAUGUCACCCAAAGCACCUAGAACAGCUGCUUGCAUCUAGUAAGCACUUGGAAGCAAAUGCAUGUUGAAAUAAAUUGUGGAAUUAAUAUUAGAUUUUGGCUUAAAAUAAAGCAGCACUCAUCUUCCACGAGAAGGGCACAUCCAACCCAAUCUCUUGUUCCUUCUCCAAGUCCAGCAGUAUCAGAGUUGACACUUUGGAGAAUGAUCCUCCUUUGAGAUCCUUCAGAGUCAAAGGAAGAGUCGGUGGAGUCUACUGUCCUCAAGGCAAGGCCAUGGAAUAUUAGAGCAGCGUGGUGCUUUAAAGAUCACAUAGUCCAACAGAUUUGAAAACUGAGGCUCUGAGAAGGAAAUCAAAUUGGCCCAGGGGCCCCUGCUGGAUGGUGAAAGAGUCAGUGUUGAAUCUCUUUCUGUUACACAAUGAGAUCAGCUCAUAAAUAUAUAUAAAAAAAAUUCAACCUGAGUUAGGAGCAAAAAUAUUUUCUGGCUAUUAAAAUAUUAAACUCACCAGAAUGUGUCAUUCCUUCAAUUAUUUAAGCUAUUCAAAAGUAUACUGUUUUAACAUUUUUUAUUCUAGAUACUAACACUAAAGCUAAGAAUUAGCUCUAGCACAUUAUUUACUGACUACACAUGUUCAGACACACCUAGGACCAAACGUGUCCCCCAGGCAUCAUGACCAGUUAAGUAAAAGCUUGAGGACUGCGGGUCUGAUCCUCUCCCCACUACAAUAGGAUUAGAAAGUCCUUAACUUCUCUUCCUACUAUUGGAACCAGAUUUGCUCUCUCACCACAGAAGCCCUUUUAGGAACAGCCGUGGGCCUGUGGGCCUUAUCAUUUAUCACUUGUUUCAAGGGCUUAAACUUUGAUCUGGGGAUAAUUUGGUAUGUUUGAAAGAGGAAUAAGCCUUUUGUCUAAUCUAGGGAAUAAAGUACAGAAUCCAGCAGCUGGAAGUCUUGGGUUUAUUUUUCUUAGGCAAACCCAUGAAUUUAUCAUCAUUUCCGGGAGAAACAAAGAAGGGGUUCCAGGAAGCCAUUCCCAGCCGUUGGGUACUUAUUUAAAGAAAAGAGGAAGAAAGAGAGAAAGAAAAAUAGCCUCUCAGGCUGAAGAAGUGCUGGAGACCCAGAUCCCAGCAGAUGAGAAGAAACAGGCUUUCUUCAACGUCAGCCUGUGGCAGGGAUUUGAUAACUUUCUUCUCCCAGCUCCCUGAACCUGACCUGAAUGGUCUGCUCUGGGUAAUCUGAAUAAACUCUCUUGAGGUUCUAUAGGGUCCUAAUUUAGUGUGAGGGAGGAGAAGAUAGGUUGUCAGAUUGACAUCUGUUGCUGUUCUGAGUAGGGUUUGAGGAGUCUAAGUCUUGGGAGACUGAGAAACACACGGACUCCAGCUCCAUUCAGAAGCUGCAUGGAUUUAUUUAGACACACUGGAAUACUGACUUUUCUUGAACUUUAAAGGUCAGAUGAACUCAGUAUCUAAAAUUGAGUUCUGGCAAAAAUGAUAUUUCAUCAUAUCUAUUAUUACAGUUUCUUAUAAAUGUAAUUCCCUUUUGAAUUGGUAGAUUACUUUUAUGCUAGUAACACGAUGUUUCAAAGCACUGUUUUACCCAUUUCUUCAAAUGUUGCUGAUUUAAAAUACCUAUUAUAUAGAUCAAACAUUAGGUUUUAAGCCUUGGGUGCUAUGCCUGCUGUGAGUUUAAAACUGCUUUUGGAGAAUUCUGCUUCUACUUCAAGUGGACUUUCUCCCUUUUAUGACCUUAAAGGCUGAGUACUAGAUGUGAUAUAAGUGAACUGAAGGAACAGGGCCCAGGUUUAUCAUCAUUAUUGUAUUGCUUUAUUCUGUCUGUUUUUGUUACAUUUUCACAAAGUAUUUUGAAAUGCACCUACUGUAAGAAGGGAGGCUAUUCGGGACAUUUGAUUUUCUAUUUUUUUUAUUUAUUUUUAUUUUUUGUCUUUCUUUUUUUGUUUUUUUUUUAUUGUUUAUUAUUAUUAUACUUUAAGUUUUAG